AAAUAUCAAUAAUGUGUGUCAAAUAUUUUCUAUUAUGACGUCAACAUUUGACGGGAACUUUUGUGAUGUCAAUGGCCAGUAAUGACAGACGAAUAACGAUACGGUGUAUAAUUUGGCAAUCAAACCAAAUGCACUUGUUUCUAUCCAUCUGAAGACCUAGUGGGCCACUAUCAAAGUAUAGACUCGUCAAUAUACGUGAUAGUGG
Molecule: long non-coding RNA, 205 nt
Filed under: Mytilus galloprovincialis (Mediterranean mussel)
Lineage: Eukaryota; Metazoa; Mollusca; Bivalvia; Mytilida; Mytilidae
Source: RNAcentral